Molecule: long non-coding RNA, 109 nt
Organism: Sinocyclocheilus anshuiensis
Lineage: Eukaryota; Metazoa; Chordata; Actinopteri; Cypriniformes; Cyprinidae
Exons: 3
Source: RefSeq, a predicted model, not a curated record
CGAGGGUUACAUACAUGAUAUGGAGUUAAGCAAUGGACUGAUAUUCAUUUAUAAGUCCUUUUGAGAUCAUUUUGGUGCAUCUACAUCUGUAAAAGACAGUCUCUCUGUC